RNAcentral lists this long non-coding RNA (1018 nucleotides) under Marmota monax (woodchuck). The record is from RNAcentral. Lineage: Eukaryota; Metazoa; Chordata; Mammalia; Rodentia; Sciuridae.
ACUAAACUCACAUGGAGGGUGAUAGUGUAAAUUAGUGGUUAAGUGACCCUGGGUUCAAUCCCCAGUACCAAAAAAAAAAAAAAAAAAAUGUCAGAACAAGUGAAGAGUUAACUUUUGUGCACACCUGUAGUCCUAGUGGCUUGGAAAGCUGAAGCAAGAGGAUCACAAAUUCAAAGCCAGCUUCAGCAACUUAGCGAGACCUUGUCUCAAAAUAAAAAGAACUGGGGAUUUGGUCUGGUUUGAUCACCCCUGGGUUCAGUCCCUUGUAUCAAAAAUUUUACAGAGUUAACUUUUAAGUAUUCCUCGAGAAAGAGCUUAGUUUCACCAGUUAACCUCUUUUGAUUCUUCUACCACCUAUUCCCCUUCUGCUCCCAACACACACACAUACACACACACACUUGCACAAUCACAUGCAAACCCUUCCUUUGCCUGUUAUUCUAAGGCCUUAAAAAAAAAGUGUGUGUUAUUUCUUUUUUUUUCCCCUGUGAUAUAUCAAGAGAAAAGUUCUGAUUUUAUUUCAGGAAAAAGCAAGUCUUCUAAAUGAUUAGUUAGGUAUAGGUAAAUCACAAUGUUAAAUUAUUUUUUUCCUUUUUGAUUCCACUUUAUAGUUACCUGACAGGAUUUAGGUUUUUCCUAUCCCUGUAAGAAUAAUAGCUGUAAAAAUAUUUCAGGAAGGGCUGGGAUUGUGGCUCAGGAGUACUGGGCUCGCUACUACCAUAUAAAUAAAAGAUACUGUGUUCCACUACAACUAAAAAAUAAUAUAUUAAAAAAAUCCUUCAGGGCGGGCUACAGAUGUGCCUCAGUGGAAGAGCAUUUGCCUGGCAUGUGUGAGGCCCUGGUUUUGAUCUCCAGCACCAAAAAAAAAAAACAAAACCAUUCUGUGGCACAUUCCUGUAAUCCCAGCAACUUGGAAGACUAAAGCAGGAUGAUAAUAAUUUCCAGACCAGCCUGGGCAAUUUAGCAAGUCCCUAUCUCAAAAUUUCAAAUUUAAAAAAAAUAGGACUGGGGAUGUAUCUCG